This 118-nucleotide ribosomal RNA is filed under the name uncultured bacterium. Its description in RNAcentral is "partial 16S ribosomal RNA". The record is from RNAcentral.
UUCGUACAGUACCGUCAAGCUUCUACACGUAGAAGUGUUUCUUCCUGUACAAAAGAAGUUUACAACGCAUAGCGCCGUCAUCCUUCACGCGGCAUGGCUGGUUCAGGCUUGCGCCCAU